CCGGCAGCGAUCUUCAGUGAGUGUUAAACAAAUCAACCCUCGGCCAUAACGAGCCAUAAAGUUAAUGGCUUCCGGGGUUACACAUUCCGCCGCCAGUAUUA
This 101-nucleotide antisense RNA is filed under the name Idiomarina sp. A28L. Its description in RNAcentral is "Vibrio RNA AS9". It matches the Rfam family "Vibrio RNA AS9". From Rfam's summary of the family: Identified by direct cloning an parallel sequencing experiments with 5S/tRNA depletion. The record is from Rfam by way of RNAcentral. Lineage: Bacteria; Pseudomonadati; Pseudomonadota; Gammaproteobacteria; Alteromonadales; Idiomarinaceae.